GGCGAGGCGAAGGCGCCCGCACGCUGACGGCUGUUUCUCCUGCCGACGUUUUUUCUGGCGUUGCAGAUUGGAUUGGGGACAUCUGACGGCAGGAAUCAGGUCAGUGUCUCGCUGCCAUACCAGCAAGAAAGCAGCUUAUUUGAUCGAAAAUGCGUUGAAAACAGAUCAUUGUUCACACUUGUUCAGAGUUUGCUGCUUUUGUUGCUCUUGAUUGGCCAGGCAGGUGCCACCCACUGCCUCCCGAUUGCAACCAGCUCGCCGGACUUUUUCUUGCGCACCUCCACCGCCACAGACGUCAGCUUCCCCUUCCGGCUCACCACUCGCCCCUCCAUCUCGACUUCGUCCUGCGAUUGAGGCCGGAUCAAGUGACACAGAAUGAAGGGAGAGGGUAGAAAAUGGAAGAUCUGGUGUUGCGUUACUGUCGAUCGGAC
This 431-nucleotide long non-coding RNA is filed under the name Panicum hallii. RNAcentral describes it as "long non-coding RNA (PHAL_LNC000498)". The record is from RNAcentral. Lineage: Eukaryota; Viridiplantae; Streptophyta; Magnoliopsida; Poales; Poaceae.